Molecule: long non-coding RNA, 9271 nt
Filed under: Homo sapiens (human)
Lineage: Eukaryota; Metazoa; Chordata; Mammalia; Primates; Hominidae
Description: HSALNT0408688
Source: RNAcentral
GAAAAAAAUAAUUUCAGAACCAUUCAUUAAUUCAACAAACAUUUAUUGAGCACCUACCACAUACCAGAAUUUUGAAAUCGGUAUUGCUUUUGGGGAUUUAUUUUUGUAGUUUGGAUUUCAAUUUGAGUUUGAAUUCUAGGUUUGCAGCCUAUCUAGCUGUGGGAGAAUGAACAAGUCCUUUAACAUCUGUAUCUCAGUUUUUCUGCCUAUAAAAUGGGAAUAAUAAUUGCACCUAAUAACGUUGCUGUAAAAUUUAAUAAUAUAAUCACACAAAACGCUUACAAAAAAAAGAAGUUUCUGCUUGUGAAGGGCACUUCAAAUGAGGUCUCCCAUAUCCCUUUACGGAUAUGUGUCUCUUCUCCUUUGCCAUUAGGAGUAGUUACGUGGGCCAGUUUGGGAACUCUGUGUGCCAAGAAUUAUGCUAGAUGAUGAGGAUACAGAGAUGACUAAAACACAGGCCCUGAUCUCCAGGAUCUUAUAAUGAGGGAAAGAAAACAUUCCCAAGUAGACACUGAAUUCCUGGAGGAUAGGGAACCAUCCCCUAAUUGUCAUUGAGUAAAUUAAACACACAGCUUUCUCUUCCUAUAAUGAUCAGUUAACAAACAUUGCCUGAGCUCCUUGCCCUGUGGGCAAGGCUGUGCUGGCAAGGCUGUGCUGGGUGCUGGUAAUACAGCAAUAAAUCAGUCACAUGCCAAUCCCUCAGGUGGACCUUCUGGUACGGGAAAAAUCAAUGGAGCAGAGACUCACUAGACCCUGAGGGCACUGCACUCAGCUGAGAAGCACUAGAAGCAAAGAUUUGCAGAGGAAGUGAGUUCCAAAUGGGGUGACAUUUAAGACAGAAUCACCCUGCUUUGGGAAAUAUAUCACUUCAACAACAACAAAAAGCAGUGUUACCAACUAUGAAAUGAAAGGAGAUGCCCUUUUGUUUUGUUUCACUGAAGUGAGUUUUUAAAUUAUACUUUUGUAUGUAAAAAAAUUUCUUCAUGGAACCUGUGACAAAACCAUGACAAAUAGCCCCAGACUAAAUUUAAAUUCAUUGGGAUGGCAGUGGCUCCGAGGGUUUCUAUGUUCUCUGUCUUUAAAUUUUUUUGAUUGUCAUAAAAAAUACAUAACAUAAAAUUUGCCAUCUUAACCAAAGAGGGUGGUAGGAAACUGAUUUUGUGAUGCAUAUCUAAACACACACCUGGAAGAUAUUAAUGUAUCGAGACUGAAGGAGCCCGAGAGAGCAAUUUUUUGUGGGAAAAAUUGAUGUACUAUGCAACUUCUUCUACCACUAAAAUGGAGGAAGAGAGAAGGUUCUAUCAUUCACCUUAAGCCAAGUAUGAAAGGGUGCUUUAGUAAAACCACUAAGAGAGCUUGGCAUGUGAACCUGGAGUUUGAGGGGGCUGCAUAAAUUCUGGCAAGAGAAACUGGCUGUGUUGAACUAGAGUGGAAGAUUAUAGAGAGAAAAAGCUACAUACAGAGUAAAUUGCUUCUCACUGACAAGAGGGCAAGAAUGUGUAUUGUCUGUGACCAAAUUUGAAACACAUGUGAAGGUGAUUGCUUGGCGCCAUUUUGAAUUUUGCCCAAGCAUAAUUGAAUUUACCUGGGUUCAUGGUAGGUCCCAGUGGAGAGUCUGUGGGCUGGAAUAGUCCAAUGCCCAGGAACUGAGGGUAGAAACUGUAAGUUGACAGCCAGAGAAAAUGCAUCAUGCAAAAACAAGUUGAAAGGCCUCAGCAGUUAUCUCUGAGGAACCUAUGUAUUUGCCUCAUAAGAUGAAGAAUUCAUCACAUCCAUAAUGCACCAAGAUCAGCUAGCGUCUUUUACCAGUUGUGAUGGUUAAUUUUAUGUGUCAAUUUGACUGGGCCCAUACAUUUGGUCAUACAUGAUUCUAGGUGUAUCUGUGAGAGUGUUUUGGAUGAGAUUAAUAUUGGAAUCCCUAGAUGGAAUAAAGAAGAUGGCCCUCCCUAACGUGGGUGAGUCCCAUCCAAUCAGUUGAACACCUGAAUAAAAUAAAAAUACUAACCCUCCUGUGAGUAAGAGGGAAUUCGUCCUGCCUGAUUGCCUUCAAAUGGGGACAUUAAUUUUUUCCUGUCUUCAGACUUGAACUGAAGCAUCAGCUCUUCCUUGUCUUGGGCCUACUGGCCUUCAGACUGGAAAUACAUCAUCAGCUCUCCUGGGUAUCCUGCAGAUCUUGAGACUUGUCAUACUCCAUAAUUAGGUGAGUCAAUUCCUUAUAACAAGUAUAUUGGAUAUAUAAUAUUAUAUGUACAUAUUACAGUAUAUUAUAUAUGUAAUAUAUGUACGUAAUAGAAAAAAAUAUAUUCUAUUGGUUUUGUUUCUCUGGAGAACCCUAUACACCAGUCACGUAAGACUUAUCUUGUUCCAUACCUGUUCUUCCUCUCUUGGCUCUAACCUGGGUGAGCCAUUGGCAACCUAGUGGUAGGUAAAAUGGGAGGAGGAGAAAAAAUUCCAUGUGGGGAAAUAGAAAAGAAAUGGCUCUCUCCCACACCAUGACUACUAAGAGACAUGAUCUUAUCCACCAGAAGAUAGUUCUGGAUUAGAAGACAUAAACUCUCAGUUCUGGCUCCAGUUAUCUCAGGUAUUAGCUGAGUAAUAUUUAGCAAAGUGACUCAACUUUCUUAGAACCUGUGUUUUCUAAUCAGUGAAAUAGGGCUUAACAAGGCCUGCCUUGCCUCCCUGAUGCAUUGUUAAAAUGAUCAAGAGCUCUAAGAUACUUGAAAAAAAUUAAGGUGGUAAAGCUAUACACAUAUAAGGCAUUUAUAUGAUAUGAUUUCAGAGGAAGAAGAAGGGCCCUUGGCCCUCCUUGAACUUCCCUCAUCUAUAGGUUAAUAACAAAACUUGGAUUUUUUUUUGAAUAGCAGAAAAAUGAAUAUUUAUUUAACAUCAGCUGCAUGAAAGGUCCUGGGCUGGGCAUUUUAACAGAACAAACUCAGUUAAUCUUCACAACAUCUCUGUUUUCCUAUGAAUUAUUAUCUCCAUUUUAUAGAUGAGUAGCCUAAAGCUCAAAGUGAAAACUUUCCCAAGAUCACACACCUAGCAAGUGUUGGAGUUCAGCUGCUAUGCAAACUGAGAAGGACCAAAGGUAUUCUUAGAUAAAGAUGUUUAUAUAGGGAAAAGCUUGGCAAUAUGGAGAUAAUGUCUAUGGAACAAAGGGAAGGCAUGCUUACUGCCUAUUAUGAAUGAUUCUAUAAGCUCAAGUUCUCUAAGUUCAGGGUGCCUCUCCUGUAAUGCAACCCACUUCAUGCACAGAUGACAUUUGGUCCUCCUCACAUUGCCCUGUUGGAAUCUGCACUCCAAAACCAAUGCAAAAAUGACGAUACUCUGGCCACUGCUGUUGCUGUGAGUGAUAAAUUUUCUUUCAUCUGUCAUCUAGGAGUCUCGUAUUUACUACUGGUAUCCAUGAAACUGUAGUAGGCCAACUUGCUAGUUUGAAAGUAGAGUAAAAUCUCAGACCCUUCAAGGUCCUUGACAACCCUAGUCCACAGUCACUUUCCUCUUUUAUUACCACUAUAGCACCUAGCCUCUGAACAAUCCAACUCAAAACACAUUAUGUCUUUUGUUGAAUUGUUUUACAUGUUAAUUUUAUCUCCCAACUAGAUCAUAAGCAUGCGAGAGAGGCACCAUGCCAAUGUUUUUUCUGUCUACCCUGUAGCAGCUGGCACAGGCAUGGGUACAUAGUACGGGCUCAAUAUAUAUUUUUGAUUUACUUUGGUUAUAUGCAUACCAGCUGAAGUAAAAUACUCCAUGCUUUUUAUCAUUGAACUUGCCUUGGAUGUCUUCUUAUAGUUGAAAACAAUAGAUGUACUCUCCUAGAAAUAGAAAAGCUCUAAUGAGAGAUGAAGAAACCAUUUUUCAGGCUUCUAGGAUGCAAGGCAUAUACAUUCUUUAAUCAGUUGGACAUCAUUGACUAAGGGGCCAAUUACAAAGCUAUUCUGAGUCCCACAUUUCCCAAGAUGUUUGUUGUGCUGGGCUGCUAAUAAUUAUCAUGUUUUGGCAGCUGAAGAACUAGAAUAUAGUCUCUGUUUUUGUAGAAAUCAAUGGCCCCAGGAGGUUAUCUAUACCAGCCUACUGUCUGCAACAUCAGUGGGAGCUUAUUUGGCAUUUGAUACCAAUCCCAGAAGAGGAUAUGAAUCCCUGAGUGCAUUUCCCAAUGGCACACGCUCGCUUCUUGUUUUCUUGUAAGUAUCCUAUUAUUAAUGGCCCAUUAUACCAGAAACAAAAAUGUCUAUAUACGCAUUUUCAUUUAGUCUGUCAUUGUUUCCAAUGGUCUGGAUUAUUCGAUUAGUCUCAAUCCAGUUUUCUUUGAGGGAAUAUGGAGACACAAGAGUUGUCUGUCUUUAGUGCUAAAACAUUAAAACUUAGGGCUCUUUCUUAUGGCUAUAGCCUUGAAGAUGCACUCCUUAGCUCCAUAACAUUGUGUUCUUUUCUUUUCUUUUCUUUCCCUUUUCUUUUCUUCUUUUCUUUUCUUUCUUUUCUUUUCUUUUGUUUUCUUUUUUUCUUUCUUGUUGUCAGGACUGCAACACACUCUCAAUUCAGUCUUCCUGAGUGCAACUGAUACAAUUUUACAGAUGUGGCAUGGUCAUCAUUUUCUAACUUUAGCUUUGCUAAUCUGGCAUUUUCUAACUUUAGUUUUGUUAAUUCAGGCUGUUCCUUCUCACUUAAAAAUAUUUCCUCUUAUUUGAAUUUGAGUAUGCUGCCACCAAGUGGUUGCCCGUUCUUUGAUUAACAUGGUCUCAUAAUUCAAACUGCAGGCUGCACUGUUUCUAUUGCUGUUGUUGGUGUAUGUGUCAGGAUUGGGAUAGUGAAUGCCUAUUAAUAGUUGAAGGUAUCAGGUAUUAGAGGGAAUUAGGGCAAAUCUUCAUGAAACAGCAGGAAGAUAUUGAAAAAUAAAAAUGGGCUGUAACUUGAGGAGGGGAGAGGAAGGGCAGUAUGUGUCCAAAGAAUGAGAUCAGGAUUAGAGGAGAUGUGGAGUAGAGGGAACAGAGAAAUAAUAGGAAAAAGGGAAAAUGACCCAGAUUUAAGAGAACUUGAUCGCUGAAACAAUUUUCAUCUUUUGUUUCUGUACUUCCUAUGGUUCUUGUACUUAUUAGGGACUACAAAUACCAAGAUAGAUGCAUUAUCUUGAGCAGGAUUCUGUCUUGUAUAUAUUUGUAUCCCUCACAGUGUCUAAUGUAGUGCUGGGCACAUAGUUGGUUCUUAAUAAAGGUCUGCAUGAAUGACCCAAACCUGCAAGAGUUGAGACAAUAUAUAGUGUAGGCAAGGGGUGCUGGCUUGAGGCACAGGGGCAGCUCCUAAUGAGCAAGCCUUGACAGUGUCUUGCCUCUAUCAAGCUGAUGCCUUGCACAACUUUAGCUGGCUCCUAUGAUCAAUCUUCCAAAUUAGAACCUUCUCCAAAUCUUCUCAGGAAGGUACUUACAUGCCCCCUCCUUCCUCCUCCACUACCUUCUCCAUUCUUUCCUCUUCUCCCUCCUCCUCUCCUUCCUCUACUCCCUCCUUUUCUUCCUCCUCUUCCUCUUUCUCCCCUUCCAAGGCUCUUGAUGUCUUCAUACCUCUGAACAAGUCUGGGUGGUUGGAAACAGAUGACCUCUGGAAGCUUUUGAUUGGAGGAUGAGAGAUCUAGAGUUCUUUCCAUUCGUAAGAUGUAUAGGGAAUGACUGUAUAGGGCUUUCAAAAAAUGCAUAUGAAAAUUGGGGAUUGUUCUAUGUAAGAUGUUUGCUGAAAUUAAUACCUUAGACACAGUCUCCAGAAAGGGGUUUACUCCUGCAUGAUAACAUGCAUGCUAUGUUAUCUUUGGCCUUGGCUAGUAUAUGUUCACAUGACUACUUUUUUCAAGAUACACACUCCCAGAUCUCAAUCUUUACCCAAAUAUUAUAAUUCAUGAAUAUCUGGUGAAAGUGUCCUGUGUGCACUUCCCCUAAUGCAGAAAUGAAAUCCUUGAAGACGAUUGUUUUAGUAAGCAAGUAUGACCUUAGUCACUUGUUUACUUGCUUUAGUAAGACCUGUUUGGCACCAUAAACAUCCACAUAUCUAACACAGAAUUUCCCAGGGAGGUUCCACGUGGAGCAGUAUAGCAUGGUGGAUAAGUGUGAGGGCUUGGGACUACUGACUGCUCAAAUUUUACCUCUGUUGUUUGAUGUUGGGCAAGUCAAUUAAUCUCUCUCUGUGCUUCAGUUUACUAACCUGUAAAAAAGGCUAAUAUAAAUUACCUUACAUGGCUGUUAUGAAGGUUAGGUUAAAUGACAAAACACAUGUAGUGUGCUUAAGCACAGUGCUUAGCAUAUAAUAAGUAUACAAUUAUUGGUAGUUAUUAUAUAAAUUUCUUCCUUGAACAUAAACUUUGGGAAGUGAUGGCCCUGGAUAGUGUCUCUCUUACUAUCAUGUCCUUGUGCUCAGCUUCUGAGGCUUAUGAAGAUGCCCUGGGCACAGAGACUCAGGCUGUCUCCUGGCCCACAGAGUGCGGAACAAGUGGGAGCUUGUAAGCUAAGUAGGAUGUCAUUUUGAGUCACUGCUGCUCUAAUCUCUUUAGACAGUUCUGAAGAACAAUUGGAUUCCCUUCAGUUUUAAUUUCCCUACCUUCUCAGAUAAAUUUUCCAAAUGUCCACUUCCCAUUUCUUCGAUCAAAGCCAGAGUUGAAGGAAGCUGGCCUUCAAUCUCCAACCAGGCUGAGAGCACCAUUUGAGCUCAAGAGCAAAUUGUAUUGGAAAAGAAGCAGAACCACUGACUAAAAUGAAUUGUCAUUAAAUGAGGCUUUAAAUGAAACCACAAGGCAGAGCCUCAUCCUAAUUGGCAGUGGAGUUAAUCGGGUAAGAGGCCAAUUCCAGAUGUCCCAUUGCAGAACUUUUAAAACUCGCUCCCUGCUUCUUUUACUUUCUGCCCCUAACCACCUCUUUCCACCCUCACACCGCCUUUGAAAGAUGAUGAUCAUUGGGCAAAGAUAACACUGAACUAUUUAACAUCUUUUUAAAAUCUAUAAUCUAUAAAUUGAAUGCAGGAAUAGAAAAUGUCAGAACCAUGAUACAAUUUGAAAUGUUUCAUGUGGUAGGGUGGAUAAUGGUACCCCAAAUAUGUCCAUGUUCUAAUCCGUAGACUGAAUAUGUUACUUUACAUGCAAAAUAAACUUUGCCUAUGUGAAUAAGGUAAGAAUCUUGGUACAGAAGGAUUAUCCCAGAUUAUCCAGGUAGGCUCAGUGUAAUCACAAGGGUCCUAAUGAGAGAGAUGAGGAAAGAGUCAGAGGCAGAGGAGCAGAUAUGAUGACAGAAGCAGAGAUUGGAGUGACGACAUAGAAGGUGGAGGAAGGGGCCAAAAGCCGAGGAAUACAGGCAGGCACAGGAAGCCACUUGUCAGCUGAAAGAGACAAGUAAAUGGAUUUUCCCUUCCAAGCCUCCAGAAGGAACUAGCCCUGCCUGCACCACAACUUUAACCCAGUGAGACCCAUUUCAGACUACUGACCUCCAGAACCAUAAGAAAAUAAAUCUGUGUUGUUUUAAGCCAACUGUCUCCCAAAUACUCCCAGAUAUGCUGUAGAGCUGGAAAUUUCCCAAAUUAGAAGUAUUGCUUUGGAUGAUAUCAAUGAAGGACACAAUUGUUAAAAAGCUUCCACUGAAAUGCAAAGGGAAAUGUGUUAGGCAACAUUCAACCUGUUAUGCCUUGAUCUGACUGGCUGGCAGAGAGCACGGAAGAGGACCCAAGAUGCAGGGAUUUCUGGGCCUUGGGGCAUGAAAUUGAUGGGUGGGAUCUGUGUGGCUGGAUGCAGCAAGUGAUGCCUGGGAUGAGAGGAUGCCACAAGGGAGAGAGCCUGAAAACAAAAUCCCAUUUAUCACACUUCUUCUUGAGUUUUCACCCAGUGAAAAACUCAAUGCUUCGGAUGUGAGCAUCACCUUUGUCACUAAUCCAGCUUCAAACCUGUUCCAUAAAGCUCCUGGUAAGCUUAAAGAAAGAAAUAGCUUUUUGCGCUUAUCUAGACUCACAAACUCUCUGACUUGAGACUGACUUCUCUUUGGUCUACCCUUGUAGGAUUUGGUCUCCUUUUGGUAUUCCAAUGUCUUCCAACUUCUACUGCCUAUUUUGGACUCCUGGUCUCCUCUAACUUCAGCUCUUUGGGCUGCCUGCCAGGCACAUUUCUGUUCUUUCUCAGAGGCUUGAGUGUCCUCCUUCCAAGAAUUCUUUGCCCUAACCUGUAAACCAUUGCCUCCCAGCCCCUGGCACCAAAGCCACCAUUAGACCCUGAUUAGGAGACCUCUCAGAUUCUUUAUGAGAUGACCCUGAGAGGCAAUUAUCCUCCACACUGCACACUUUCCAGAGUACUUUGGCCUUUAUAAUAAGAAGUAGCAGAUUUACAGAUGAAGGAUCUUCAAUCCCAAAACCUGCUCUCUCUGUCUGCAACGAACAUACUCCAUCACUUGCUUUUCCCUACCUCUGAUCUCACUCCCAGAGCACUGCAACGAAAGUCCAGAAAAGUGAGGGUCUUUGAACCCAUUAGUAGCUCCCCAAGCCCCAUAUCCACUUGUAGUUUGAUGAAAAUGAGAAGCAUGGAUCUGAUCAGUUGGGCCUUUAUAGAUGCAUGUCAGAUCCACAUGAAUAAUAUGAUCUUCGAGCAACCCAGAAAGGAGAGAGUUUCUGUUUCUCAAGUCCCUUGCCUCAGAGUCAAUACAGUGAUACCAUCCAAGAAAGGAUCUGUAGCCUAGGAUAUAUAACAGAUUCACUUAUUAUGCUGUCAGGACGCCUGAGGCAAAUCCAUCCAAAUGUGAGUGCUGACUUCUUAGGAACUGGACAAGUGAGCUCAGGUACUGUAAAGGAGCACCUAUGACUUGUUUACCAGGUCUAAGUUGCACAAUCACAAGAGCCCAAGAAUAUCAAAUAAUCCACAUCAAAUUUUCAAACAGCCAGACAUGAUAUGUUCUCAAUUCCCAGGCCACGUUUAUUAUUAAAUGAUGUUCUAGCCCUUUGACAAUACCUGCUAUUAGAACCAGGGCUUGGGUGGUGGUGGAACAGGCCACAGUGGCAUAGACAAGACCUGGGAAUUCAGGAAGUUUUCCUUGGUCAGGAGAAGUCUGCGGCUGGGACAAGUAUGAUGUAGUUUGGAUGUUUGUCCCCUCGAAAUCUCAUUUUGAAAUGUAAUUCCCAAUGUUGGAGGUGGGGCCUGAUGGGAGGUGAUUGAAUCAUGGAGGCAGCUCCCUCAUCAAUAGCUUAGCACCAUCCACUUGGUGAUAAGUGAGUUCUUGCUCAGUGAGUUUGCAUGAGAUCUGAUUGUUUAAAAGAGUCUGAGACC